Molecule: ribosomal RNA, 288 nt
Filed under: Bacillus thuringiensis
Lineage: Bacteria; Bacillati; Bacillota; Bacilli; Caryophanales; Bacillaceae
Description: partial 16S ribosomal RNA
Rfam family: Bacterial small subunit ribosomal RNA
Source: RNAcentral
UUUAUUAGAGAGUUUGAUCCUGGCUCAGGAUGAACGCUGGCGGCGUGCCUAAUACAUGCGAGUCGAGCGAAUGGAUUAAGAGCUUGCUCUUAUGAAGUUAGCGGCGGACGGGUGAGUAACACGUGGGUAACCUGCCCAUAAGACUGGGAUAACUCCGGGAAACCGGGGCUAAUACCGGAUAACAUUUUGAACUGCAUGGUUCGAAAUUGAAAGGCGGCUUCGGCUGUCACUUAUGGAUGGACCCGCGUCGCAUUAGCUAGUUGGUGAGGUAACGGCUCACCAAGGCAA